GCCCGGAUGGUCUAGUGGUAUGUUACAAAUGGCACCCUCGCAGCCAAUCAUCAUUGCUAAUUCAAAUUCAGGUAUGAUUCUCCGUUUGGGUCGGAGAGGUCCCGCGUUCAAAUCGCGGUUCGGGCC
Molecule: non-coding RNA, 126 nt
Organism: Paecilomyces variotii
Lineage: Eukaryota; Fungi; Ascomycota; Eurotiomycetes; Eurotiales; Thermoascaceae
Source: the annotation of a RefSeq genome assembly